This 436-nucleotide ribosomal RNA is filed under the name uncultured bacterium. RNAcentral's name for it is "partial 16S ribosomal RNA". It matches the Rfam family "Bacterial small subunit ribosomal RNA", at positions 28 to 507 of the family's 1533-position model. The record is from RNAcentral.
AACGAACGCUGGCGGCAGGCUUAACACAUGCAAGUCGAGCGCCCCGCCAGGGGAGCGGCAGGCGGGUGAGUAACGCGUGGGAACGUACCCUUAUCUUCGGGCUAGCUCCGGGAAACUGGAAUUAAUACCGAAUGUGCCCUUUGGGGGGAUGAUUCAUCGGAUGAGGAUGGGCCCGCGGUGGAUUAGCUUGUGGGUGGGGUAGAGGCCUACCAAGGCGGCGACGCAUAGCCGGUCUGAGAGGGUGAUCGGCCACAUUGGGACUGAGAUACGGCCCAGACUCCUACGGGAGGCAGCAGUGGGGAAUAUGGCACAAUGGGCGGAAGCCUGAUGCAGCAACGCCGUGUGCGGGAUGACGGACGUCGGGUUGUAAACCGCUUUCGCCUGUGACGAAGCGUGAGUGACGGUAAUGUGGAAAGAAGCACCGGCUAACUACGUG